Molecule: non-coding RNA, 73 nt
Organism: Podarcis lilfordi (Lilford's wall lizard)
Lineage: Eukaryota; Metazoa; Chordata; Lepidosauria; Squamata; Lacertidae
Source: the annotation of a GenBank genome assembly
GCUGGGAUAGCUCAGUUGGCAGAGCAUGAGACUCUUAAUCACAGGAUCGUGGGUUCGAGACCCACGUUGAGUG